AUUGAACGCUGGCGGCAUGCCUUACACAUGCAAGUCGAACGGCGGCGCGGACUUCGGUCUGGCGGCGAGUGGCGAACGGGUGAGUAAUACAUCGUAACGUACCCGGUUGUGGGGGAUAACUAGUCGAAAGAUUAGCUAAUAACGCAUACGACCUGAGGGUGAAAGUGGCGGACCGCAAGGCCUCACGCACCAGGAGCGGCCGAUGUCUGAUUAGCUAGUUGGUGGGGUAAAGGCCCACCAAGGCGACGAUCAGUAGCUGGUCUGAGAGGACGAUCAGCCACACUGGGACUGAGACACGGCCCAGACUCCUACGGGAGGCAGCAGUGGGGAAUUUUGGACAAUGGGGGCAACCCUGAUCCAGCAAUGCCGCGUGUGUGAAGAAGGCCUUCGGGUUGUAAAGCACUUUUGUCCGGAAAGAAAUCGCGCUGGUUAAUACCUGGCGUGGAUGGCGGCACCGGAAGAAUAAGCACCGGCUAACUACGUGCCAGCCGCCGCGGUAA
This 500-nucleotide ribosomal RNA is filed under the name uncultured bacterium. RNAcentral's name for it is "partial 16S ribosomal RNA". It matches the Rfam family "Bacterial small subunit ribosomal RNA", at positions 29 to 523 of the family's 1533-position model. The record is from RNAcentral.